CAGAAAAUAGUUUAUUUAAAAUAUUAAUUUUGGAGAUUAAUGAAAGGUGAUGUUACUUUUUUCUGA
This 66-nucleotide transfer RNA is filed under the name Abia niui. RNAcentral describes it as "tRNA-Pro". The record is from RNAcentral. Lineage: Eukaryota; Metazoa; Arthropoda; Insecta; Hymenoptera; Cimbicidae.